CUGUUGCUCUUCGCUGCAUACGUGGGAUAAUAGAGCAUCUCGAAAAUUCGAAAUCCACUGCAAAUGCUAUUAUGCAUAUAUGAUCGCUCACUCUUGAUAAGACCGAAGGAACAGUUGCAGAGCUUCUCCAAUAAUUAAUCAUCGUUCAUCAAAUUGUUGUGAUUUUUCAGGAGAUGAUUAAAGGUAAAAGGAGUAACCUGACUGCAGUUCUCAUUUUCUUAGAGAUUCAGGGAGAGAAAGGACAUUAGGAGGCAUGUUGAAGUGAUAACAAGAGGCAGGCUUUCAGACAUCGAAGCUGCUGAAUCACUGGGUCCUGAUGGUUCUGCGCCGAAAAUUGUUGCUCCUGUUGGGUUUGUUGUGUUCAGAAUUGAUGAACUUGUGCUGUAAUUAUGAAAUAUGGAACAAUCGGCUUUGCCAUAUCCACAGGCGUAGUCAAGUGCAACUUGUAAGGCUGGUUGUGAAGCACUCUGGCUUGCGACACACCAACUUCCCCCUGAUGAUGAUGCAGCAGUUGAAGGAUUAUUUGGAUUUGUCAUAGUUGGACUUGUUGGAUUUGUCAUAAUUGGUCCUGUUGGAUUUGUCAUAGUAGGUCCUGGUGGAUUUGAAAGUGGAUUUACAAGUGGACUUGUAUACGUUCCAGGAUUCAUUGGGUUGAUUAAAGGAACUGUUGUGAUUGGAGUUGUGACAUCUUUUUCAGUUGUAGAGGAUUUUGAGUCGACUUUGAAGAUUAAUCGUCGAGAAGAAGCUGAUAAAGGUGCUACAACACCAUAAUCAGAUAACAAAACAUUAUUUGAGGAAACGAGAACGAAAAGAAAAUACCUGAAAAGAAGAGAAGACCCAGGAGAAAGAAGAUGAAACUGUGCAAGACCUUUUUAC
Molecule: long non-coding RNA, 876 nt
Organism: Papaver somniferum (opium poppy)
Lineage: Eukaryota; Viridiplantae; Streptophyta; Magnoliopsida; Ranunculales; Papaveraceae
Exons: 4
Source: RefSeq, a predicted model, not a curated record